AAUUGUAUAGUUACUGUUUCGAGAAAGACAAAUCUGUCCAUUUCUUAUUAUUGUGUUUCUACCUGAUGCUGUGACUGAGCUGAAGGGUUUUUGGAAUAAUGCCAGGGCUACUAAUAAAAUAUACAGUGUGGUACUAUAUUGUACUUGAAGGGGCAUCUCAGGUCACCCAAGAUAAUCUGACAGAGAAUUGAAGCAAACAGGGAUAAACAGCAACAACUCUACCUUCAAUAGUACCUGAUUAGAUGGAUUUGGAACGCAUCAACGGGGCCAAAAGUUCUGGUAAAAAUAAGAUUUGUAACUGAAAAAUAUGAAAUUUUGAGUUUUGAAACCUAAAAACAGAAGAUUUGAAGUUUAUUUUUGAAUAGCAAAAAGUUUUUGACAUUUUUAUAUAUAUUUUUUGACCUAACACCAAUAUUUUUUUUCAAUUGAAUUUAUUAAGCUCCAUAAAAGAGAGAUCCGGGGGAUUUAACCCUGUCUGAUGUGCCAGCAAAUACAAUCGAAACAUCCAAAGGAAGCACUGGUUUUUCUCAUCUUGAGUGUCAAUUUUAUUUUUUUCUUUCACAAGAAUGAGAGUGGCUUCAGUCAUACUUUAAUUAAAAAAAAAAAAGAGAGCUGAUCCAGACAGGGUGCCAUGCCCGGGGGUCUAGGUCCAGCGCCUGGCUCAGUGCUGCGGGUUGUAUUGCGUAAUUAUCACGUGUUUCUGUCAUGUUGCCUGAUACCUGAUACCUGUGACGUCAUAUUGUGUUGCGUGUAAUAUUGUGUUGUAGCAUUCAAAUCACAGCAUGAGACGCAUUCUGCCGGUCCACCUAGUCCACUCUCACGGGUUGCGCCCUGUCCAACCAACUCUCCCGAUAGCAGCAUUAUCGCUCAGCGGUAUUUAUAGUAGGCGUGUCAAGCUACCUUGCAAACUAAUGGUUUCACUUCCGGUGCGCUUUAAAUUGCAGUGUGCUUUGGCAAACAUGAACUAUAUACUAUAUAUUGCUUGUAAAUAAAAUAUAAAGAAAGGUAAAUAUAACUUUGAAAGGUUUUUCUUUACCACAGAUACAUUUUGAGUGGUGCAUGGUGGGAAAUGUCUGACGUAAUUGGUCACGUGACAUACGGUGUGACAGACUGGCGGCAUAACUGUGCUACUACUGUCUAAAUUGAGCACUGCGUCUUUAAAUAGUAACUGUCGUACCGGUCAUGUUGCCGGGUACCGGUGGGGCGGGGACAGAGUUAAACUCUUUGGGAAUAAUUUUUUCAGCUGUAAAAUUUUAGAGAUUUUUGUGGACAAACGGGCUCCUGGACAUGAACGAGACUUUAGUGAUUGCGCAACGAGGAGUCCGACUGAAUGACGGCGAUGACAAGGCAAAAAUGGAAGUUGGUGUUGUCAUGUUGAGCACACACUGGUUUAUCUGGAGGGACACCAAGAACCACGAAUGAUGCACAGAUAUCCUCUGUCUCAGAUCAUCUUCUUUGAGGAGCAGGCUGGAGGAAUAGGAAAGAGGACCAUAUAGGGGUUCACUUCAUCCUGUCGCUUACUGUUCCUGUAGUUUGGACCCAGUGGCGGCUGGACUACCGCGCUGUCUCAGCACAAUCGCCGCAGCGGAAAAGACCCAAACAGCAUCCAGCAACCUGGUUGGCUACUCCCCUCUCACAUUCUUGGUAUCACACAAGCGCCUCAUUUUGCCUGACCACAGAUCAUGACAUUUCUCUCUGCCUACAUUCAUCAGAUAUCAUGCCUGUUUGCUAGAGCUGCCGAAUGUUACUGUUAAAGGAUGUUCGGUUCUGAAUCUUGCUACUCUCCUGUCUACCCCUGACGAAAAAAUCUUUUGCGCUUAGAGGAGUUGGUUUUGGGGCCGUAUGGAAAUGGAUGGAUAUUUUUCUCAAAACUGUAAUGGAAAUGGACUUUUUUCUAAUUAAAUGCGCUUCUGAAGUGUCUGUCCGAGUACACCACAGCGGGCGCUACGACAGAUCCCACAGCGUCACAGCUAAUCGUGCAUCUCCUCUGUAAAAUUAAUAAAAAGAUUUCCUCAUGGCUUCAUCUGUAGCCGACCUUCUGCAGCUGGCAGCCUAAAUACGACAAAGGAAGUCUCCUUUGAGGAUCAGCACGAGUGCAGUGACACACUUCAAUGGAUCUAGUCGCGUUUUCAAAAAUAAAAAUGUUCCAGCUGCUUACUUGUUAAGGACAUUCUUUUAAAUAUCACUGAACAGACUUCUCACUUGUAUCUGAGACUGUCAAUGGACUCGCUGCGUGAGCCAGCGUGCCACGCGCGCACCACACUGUGUUGACGUCACCCAAAUGCUCCUUUUUUAGUGGAUCAAAUUAAAAAAAAGCACACGCAUCGCCGUGUUUUUAAUGA
Oryzias melastigma (Indian medaka) is the source of this 2342-nucleotide long non-coding RNA. RefSeq lists it as uncharacterized. Lineage: Eukaryota; Metazoa; Chordata; Actinopteri; Beloniformes; Adrianichthyidae. The record is from RefSeq and is a predicted model, not a curated record. The transcript is spliced from 4 exons.